Lycium barbarum (goji berry) is the source of this 1116-nucleotide long non-coding RNA. RefSeq lists it as uncharacterized. The transcript has 2 exons. NCBI's taxonomy places the organism in Eukaryota, Viridiplantae, Streptophyta, Magnoliopsida, Solanales, Solanaceae. The record is from RefSeq and is a predicted model, not a curated record.
AUCACGAUAGUAAUAUGGGAAAAGGGUUAAAUAUACCCCUGAACUUUGCAAAAAUGUCUACAUAUAUCCCCAUUUAAAGUUUGGCUCACCUGUACCCCUACCGUUCAACCUUUGGAUCAUUUAUACCACUGUCAAUAUUAAAUGCCUUGCUGGCCUCCCAAAAAUCAUAUUUUUUUUUAAUUGCCACAUGGAACGAUUUAACCCAAAUACCUAAGCCCUAUUCUCAUAACUCCACCAUUGCUAAACCUCCUCUAUCCACCAUAGGUAAAGCUUCUCUCUCUACCAUAGCUUGCGGGUUACCCCAUUGAUUCAAUUUUCAAGCUCUGGUCAUCUUCCACAAUUCAAUUUUCCCAAAAAAUGAGCCAGGGUUCGAGUGCGUCUAGUGGAUCGAGGAUGAACUAUCAUUGUGGUAUUGCAGCGAGGAUUUUCACGGCUUUUACUCCAAUAAUGUUAUAAAUGUGAUUUUUGGAAAUGGAUAGAUGAUCUGCUCCAUCCUAGAGUUGAUGAUCUCAUCCACGAUUUGGAGGAGGAAAAUGAUAGUCUUGAGCUUGAAAAGAAAGCUUUGGAGACGAGAAUGAUUGAUCUUGAAAAGUACUUGGCAUCUGAUAUUGAAGAAAAAUGUGAACAUGAAGAUGAAAUUAGUGUUUCCAAGGGUGAGGAGGUUGUUGUCAAUAAUGAAGAGGUUGUUGUCGACAAUGAAGUUACUGUUUAUAAUGAAGAGGCCGUUGUUGAUAAGCCUUUGGCGGAUAUUGAUGAUGGGAUGUAAAAAUCUAAGGAAAAAGUGCUGAAGUUGUCGAUUGUGAUCGCUAUGUGGUGGUGUUGUUUUGUAGGAUUCAUCACAUCUUCGGUUAUGAAAUAGGGAUUGCUAUCAUUUUCCAUGUUUAUUUUUCAAUGUGUAACAUUGGUAACCUUUAACAUAUAUGUAAGUUCUUGAUGGCUUUAGAAUUCUAGUUCAUAUUUUGGUUGAUCUGCCAAUUUUCAAUUUCAUUAUGGAAGUUGUAAUCUCGUUAAGGAUUGCUUUCCUUAAUGCAAAUGAAAAUGUAAAAUUUGUCAUUUAGUUGUUAUGAAUGCAAAUGAAAUAUUUGGAAAUAUCUGAUUGUGGAGUUCAAUUGGAUA